CCUAUCUUUGGUAUGCAAA
RNAcentral lists this non-coding RNA (19 nucleotides) under Gossypium hirsutum (cotton). Lineage: Eukaryota; Viridiplantae; Streptophyta; Magnoliopsida; Malvales; Malvaceae. The record is from RNAcentral.